GCGGUAGAAGCAGUGCCGCAGGUCGGGGGAGGGCGGCUGCCGCGGGGCCCCGACGUGCAACGCAGCGAAAUGCGCGGCGAUGAAGCCCGCGUCGGCGCUCAGGUUGAGCUGGAAGAGCUGCCCGUACGCGCUGAGCCGGUAGUGUGUGCGGAGUGCUGCGGGCUCCGAGCUCCUUUUCCUCCUGCUGAAGUGACGCGUGUGGGGAAAAACUUCUCCGAACUCAUUCACCCGGACAGGUGUGACUAUUUCAUAGGAGGACAGCUGCUUCACUAAGGUGAAGACAGGCACUUUGAUGUCAUUACACACCUGCUGGAAGGGAAAGUGGAGAAGCGUGUGCCAGCUACAAGGAAUUGCACCCGGUGUGUUACAACUUCCAUGGAAGUUCUGGAUCUCAGUGUCCCAGGCAGGAGCUGACAGGCUGCUCUGUGCUAACCCAGGGGCAGGAAUCCCGCCCUGCACUUCACCCCGCCUUGGAGCUCUGUCAGCACAGUGCACCUGUUUUAUCAGGGGGGAAAUUUCAGCUUCCCAGGGCAGACAAGUGUAGGUUGCUGCAUACUCAUGGAGUGCAUAACAAAAAACCCUCUAACCUGAGAUUCACAAGUGACCCCCCACAAAUCAUUCAGAAAAAGAAGAAUCACUGUCUUCUGAAGAUAAAGGCAUGUGUACUUCUGCCAACAAUGCAAGCUUUUUUUUUUUUUUUCCAAGUCACAAGAACACUGCAGCUGUUACUUUGGCUCAAGAGAAAGUAUUCCUACAGUAAGGAGACAUAGGGCCCAAUUCAUCUCUCGUAUCAACACUGUUAGUUAUGCUGGGGAUGAUUUGUCUCACAUAGCACUCUCCUAGCUACCCAGCUUUUUUCCAGAGACCCAUUCGGGGCAAUACCCUAAAAUUACUCCAGAAGAGAAUGUAAAUUUAAUAUUGCAAGACACAAAAGCCAGACAUAAAAUGUGAGCAUCAAAUUGCUGAUAGCACGUGAAAUGGUUCCUAAUCACACUAAUUUAAACCUAUGUUUAGCCCAUGUUAUCCUCUACAUCUUACAAAUGUCAGCUUCAGAGGAACUAGACUCCACAAAGCCAGAAGUUUGUAUUGAAGUAGAUGUCCAUAUGAGUGAAGUCACAGAGAAGGAUCUAAGCACAUCUGAACUGGAUUCGCUGUGCUAGUGUGGCUGUUCGUUCAGAUACAUGACUUUUUAACCUUUCUUCACACACUGCUUUUCCUACUUGGAGAUUCACAAGAAAAAUACCAAACUGACUACCAGGACAAAAAAUGGAUGUGUGCUCCAGUGGCAAAGCAACAAGCAGCUGUAUAUGAGGAACUACAGUUGUACCAGGCCUGUACUCACUCAGCAUUCAGAGCUGAAUUACAGGAGCUGGUGCCUGCAAACUUCUCUGCUCUCCAAUGGCCACCAGUGACUGCCCUGGCUCUUCUCCUCUUCCUACACGUAUUGCACUCCAGACCAUCGUUGAGAAAAUGUUACUGUAAAAUAUGCGAUCAUAUUUCUUCAGUGAAGUAAUGUCAUGUGCCAUGUUAUUCCCCUUUUCUAAACAAUAUUUUCAUUUAUAGACUUCAGCAGUUUUUUUCUCCAAACUGCCUUGUAGUUCAUUUAGCAGGAUGGCAUUCGGUACAUAUUCUCACACGUUUUGGAAGUACAACAGAUAUAUGCACACAUACUUCAUUUUCUAAGAAAUGCAGCUUUGUUUUCAGUCAUGACGUUCCCUUCAAUUUCUGUUUCUAGACAACUUUGCUGCUAAAUG
Molecule: long non-coding RNA, 1754 nt
Organism: Gallus gallus (chicken)
Lineage: Eukaryota; Metazoa; Chordata; Aves; Galliformes; Phasianidae
Exons: 3
Source: RefSeq, a predicted model, not a curated record